This 1252-nucleotide long non-coding RNA is filed under the name Sitophilus oryzae (rice weevil). Its description in RNAcentral is "uncharacterized LOC115876883, transcript variant X1". Lineage: Eukaryota; Metazoa; Arthropoda; Insecta; Coleoptera; Curculionidae. The record is from RNAcentral.
ACUAAAUUAAUUAUUUUGUAAAUUUUCGGCCGAAUUAUUUGUUUAUGUUCCUAAUGAUUUUAUUAACCGAUCCUACUACAAACAACUAAUUUUCUCUCGCAGAUUGUAAUAUAUUAUCGAGUUAAAAAAUUUAUAUAAAAAAAAAUCAAGUAUUGGGAAAGUUCUCUAGUAAUACUGAAUAAUACCUAGGAAUGUUAUAAUAAGACAUAUCAGAAAAGACAGAUCCACAGAAAGGAGCAUUAUUAAUAAUACACCCCAGCACAUAAAGACCGCCCAAAAGGAGAGACAUGGGUCACCCCUAUAUAAUCCUGCUGUUUGAGAUUGGCCUUCUAUUAUCCGAUUAAAAACGCGAUUUAGUACUACACAUCAGCACACUGUCGCCCAGAGGCCGAACAGGCAGGGAUAUUAUAGGAUCCUGGAUAUUAUUAGGGAAUUUUACGUAAGUAAAUUUUACCGAUGGUGUCCCGACGGAUUGGAUCAAAGGGUGGCGCUCCAGGACGCGACGCGGCCUUCUUCCGAAGAGGAGUCCUGAAUCGUCUCCCGAACUUGAUGUUGUCUUAUGAAAUCCUAUGUAGCAUGCGAUGGUAGGUCGCUCGAUGAUCUCAGAUGCGGCUGUUUAAUUGGGAUCGGGAGUUGACUGGUAAGACAAAAUCAUCGAAAAGGAUCAAAUCUGCAGAAGCAACCACACCUCGGACGCGACGAAGAAUUUUUUUGUUCUGCAUCUGCCUGACGUCGAUUUAUGGGUAGAUAUUAGGGACAGAGAGGGUAGCAUACCCCAGCUAAAACCAAAUAAAGAUAAUUCGAGUUCGUGAUGCGUUUAAGUCAAAGAAUAUUCCAGAUGAACUAUUGCAAUACGCGUGUGAUUGGUCCUAAAGCUUCUUCGGAUUCUCCCAGGCACCAUCGAAUACCUGGUGACGUGUUAAGUACUAACUCAAGAGGAGUUGGAACAUUCCCCAUGCCCAAAUGCAGCUUCAAGUAACUGUCUUUUGUCUUUUCGUCUUUUAAUUAUAAUGGGACUGAAGAAAUACCGGCGAAUUGAUAUGGUGAUAAAGCAGCUCAGCCCUUAAAUGAAACCUCACGCAUAUGAAGAACUAAUUUGUAGCAAAGAGUACUUAUUUUAAUUAAUUUCUUAAUGAUGCUAAUGUAUUAUUUUAUAUACAGGGUAUCCCAGAAAUAAGUGCAAGUAUUUUAAGGAGUGAUAGAUCUCGAUAAAAGAAACAUAUUUUCUCGUUAUCGUUUUUCAAAUAAAUCC